RNAcentral lists this ribosomal RNA (253 nucleotides) under uncultured bacterium. RNAcentral describes it as "partial 16S ribosomal RNA". It matches the Rfam family "Bacterial small subunit ribosomal RNA", at positions 524 to 776 of the family's 1533-position model. The record is from RNAcentral.
GACAGAGGUUGCAAACGUUGUUCGGAAUCACUGGGCAUAAAGCGCACGUAGGCGGUCUGUUAAGUCAGGUGUGAAAGCCCCCGGCUCAACCGGGGAAUUGCAUUUGAUACUGGCAGGCUCGAGAACGGUAGGGGUGAGUGGAACUCCAGGUGGAGCGGUGAAAUGCGUAGAUAUCUGGAGGAACACCGGUGGCGAAGGCGGGUCUCUGGGCCGAUACUGACGCUGAGGAGCGAAAGCGUGGGGAGCGAACAGG